Long non-coding RNA from Gasterosteus aculeatus aculeatus (three-spined stickleback), 851 nucleotides. The record is from Ensembl. NCBI's taxonomy places the organism in Eukaryota, Metazoa, Chordata, Actinopteri, Perciformes, Gasterosteidae.
GGCACAUGGGCAGCUGUCUUACACCACGGCGCUUUCUCCGCAGCUGCUGAUGCUCGAUAGGCGGUGGAUUGUUGUUGAAAAUGUAUCCAUGCAUUAAAAACUUAUAGGAUACAGAGUUCUAUUCUAGACUGAAAAGAUAUUCAGUGAGACCAGAUUUAGGUGCACCGGGGCGCAAAGAAAGAGAGAGAGAAGGAGGAGGAAGGAAGGAGGACGUAGACAGAAUAACCGGGGUUGGCUGACCACAGAGGAAUUUUCCCUGCAGGCAUCAAGGCCCACAGCUGAUCGCAGCACAUGCUGUCCUGGAGUCAGCGAUGGAGCAGAAGCAUCUAAAAAAGACGAGGAAGAGAAGUGAGGACAACGGCAGAUGUCGACCGCCGCUGGUUCACGAGAGGGCAUGGGCGAACAAGAGACGGGUGCUUGUCCCCGAUUUCCAUUCCCUUCUUAGUGCUUCCUCAUUGAGAGAGAGAGAGAGAGACUCCCGCUUGACGGAGAGUCACUCUAUCAUCUCACCCUCAGACUUCUAUCUCACAUGUCUAUCUGCCGCGCCUUCCCCUCUGCACUCGGACAGCAAUAUAUAUGAUAAGAAUAUGCUAAUUAUAGCAAAGUGGACUAUAGUGGCCAAGGACGUCGGCCAUAAUAAACAGUUAUCAGCAUGACAUGGUUUCAUGUAUAGUGUUAGACUGAUGAAAUACUUGGCGGCGUCGUUUGACUGAGGAGAUAGUGGCUCCUAGGAAAGAAAAACUCAUGUGAGAGUGUGUGUGUGUGAUGACAUCCAUAUUCCCCUCUUUGUGUUUUUAUUUCUUUAUAGCUCCUCUUGUAUGUCAAUAAAAAUGAACCUUUCCCUGUGACAA